Molecule: ribosomal RNA, 253 nt
Filed under: uncultured bacterium
Lineage: Bacteria
Description: partial 16S ribosomal RNA
Rfam family: Bacterial small subunit ribosomal RNA
Source: RNAcentral
UACGUAGGGUGCGAGCGUUAAUCGGAAUUACUGGGCGUAAAGCGUGCGCAGGCGGUUUUGUAAGCCAGAUGUGAAAGCCCCGGGCUUAACCUGGGAAUGGCAUUUGGGACUGCAAGGCUUGAGUGCGGCAGAGGAGACUGGAAUUCCUGGUGUAGAAGUGAAAUGCGUAGAUAUCAGGAGGAAUACCGAUGGCGAAGGCAGGUCUCUGGGCUGACACUGACGCUCAUGCACGAAAGCGUGGGGAGCAAACAGG